RNAcentral lists this ribosomal RNA (427 nucleotides) under uncultured eukaryote. Its description in RNAcentral is "bacterial SSU rRNA". It matches the Rfam family "Eukaryotic small subunit ribosomal RNA", at positions 592 to 1018 of the family's 1831-position model. The record is from RNAcentral.
CAAUAGCGUAUAUUAAAGUUGUUGCAGUUAAAAAGCUCGUAGUUGGAUUUCUGGUCGGAGCGACCGGUCGGCGUCCUUUGUGGCGUGUGCACUGUUGUCGGCUCCGUCCAUCCUAGUGGGAAGGCGCGUUGGCAUUCAUUUGUCGGCGCGUGGCCCCGCUACGUUUACUGUGAAAAAUUAGAGUGUUUAAAGCAGGCGUUCGCUGUGAAUACAUUAGCAUGGAAUAAUGAGAUAGGACUUUGGUGCUAUUUUGUUGGUUUGCACGCCAAGGUAAUGAUUAACAGGGACAGUUGGGGGUAUUCGUAUUUUGAUGUCAGAGGUGAAAUUCUUGGAUUUUCGAAAGACGAACUUCUGCGAAAGCAUUUACCAAGGAUGUUUUCAUUAAUCAAGAACGAAAGUUAGGGGAUCGAAGACGAUUAGAUACCGU